ACAGUGGAUGCGAGCAUCUUUGUAGCAAGUUAGUAAGGGCAUACGGUGGAUGUCUUGGCACCAGGAGCCGAUGAAGGACGUAGGAGACUGCGAAAAGUCUAGGGGAGCUGUCAACCGAGCUGAGAUCCUAGAAUUUCCGAAUGGGGAAACCCGGCCCCAGUCAUGUGGGGUCACCCAUACCUGAACACAUAGGGUAUGUGGAGGGAACGCGGGGAAGUGAAACAUCUCAGUACCCGCAGGAAGAGAAAACAACCGUGAUUCCGUGAGUAGUGGCGAGCGAAAGCGGAUGAGGCUAAACCGCGUCUGUGUGAUACCCGGCAGGGGUUGCAUUCGCGGGGUCGUGGGACCUUUUGGUCAGUUCUGCCGGACUGGCAACGAGUCAGAAAAUACUGUGGUUAGAGGAAUACGUCUGGAAAGCGUGAGCGUAGAGGGUGAAACUCCCGUACUCGAAAACCUGGUAUCUCGUUAGAGUGUUCCCAAGUAGCAGCGUACUCGUGAAAUUCGCUGUGAAUCUGGCGGGACCACCCGCUAAGCCUAAAUACUCCCUGGUGACCGAUAGCGGACUAGUACCGUGAGGGAAAGAUGAAAAGUACCCCGGGAGGGGAGUGAAAUAGUACCUGAAACCGUGUGCCUACAAUCCGUCGGAGCCUUUAGGGGUGACGGCGUGCCUUUUGAAGAAUGAGCCUGCGAGUUAGUGCUACGUGGCGAGGUUAACCCGUGUGGGGUAGCCGUAGCGAAAGCGAGUCUGAAUAGGGCGCUUGAGUCGCGUGGUCUAGACCCGAAGCGGUGUGAUCUAGCCAUGGCCAGGGUGAAGCGCGGGUAAGACCGCGUGGAGGCCCGAACCCACCAGGGUUGAAAACCUGGGGGAUGAGCUGUGGUUAGGGGUGAAAGGCCAAUCAAACACCGUGAUAGCUGGUUCUCCCCGAAAUGCAUUUAGGUGCAGCGUCGUGUGUUUCACCACGGGGGUAGAGCACUGGAUGGUCUAGGGGGCCUACAAGCUUACCGAAAUCAACCAAACUCCGAAUACCGUGGUGUGAGAGCGCGGCAGUGAGACUGCGGGGGAUAAGCUUCGUAGUCGAGAGGGAAACAGCCCAGAACGCCAGCUAAGGUCCCUAAGUGUGUGCUAAGUGGGAAAGGAUGUGGGGUCGCACAGACAGCCAGGAGGUUGGCUUAGAAGCAGCCACCCUUUAAAGAGUGCGUAAUAGCUCACUGGUCAAGUGGUCCUGCGCCGACAAUGUAGCGGGGCUUAAGCACACCACCGAAGCUGUGUCAUUUCAGCCUUGUGCUGGGAUGGGUAGGGGAGCGUCGUGUAGCGGUUGAAGCGGCGGAGUAAUCCAGCCGUGGACGCUAUGCGAGUGAGAAUGCAGGCAUGAGUAGCGAAAGACGAGUGAGAAACUCGUCCGCCGGAUGACCAAGGGUUCCUGGGCCAGGCUAAUCCGCCCAGGGUAAGUCGGGACCUAAGGCGAGGCCGACAGGCGUAGUCGAUGGACAACGGGUUGAUAUUCCCGUACCCGUGUGAACGCGCCCAUGAUGAACCUUGUGAUACUAACCGCCCGAAGCACC
Molecule: ribosomal RNA, 1563 nt
Filed under: Lentzea alba
Lineage: Bacteria; Bacillati; Actinomycetota; Actinomycetes; Pseudonocardiales; Pseudonocardiaceae
Description: Lentzea sp. NEAU-D13 partial 23S ribosomal RNA
Rfam family: Bacterial large subunit ribosomal RNA
Source: RNAcentral